Molecule: long non-coding RNA, 2523 nt
Organism: Ricinus communis (castor bean)
Lineage: Eukaryota; Viridiplantae; Streptophyta; Magnoliopsida; Malpighiales; Euphorbiaceae
Exons: 2
Source: RefSeq, a predicted model, not a curated record
CCUAUAUUUAAUUGUUUGUUUUGGUUCCUUUAUAUAUCAGGGUUCAUCGUUUCAACGUUGAAAUGGAGUGUUGAUUAAUAUCACUUUUACACGGAUUCAAUGUGAAUUCAAUUAUUUGCUCAUUCAAGGAAAUAAAGAUAGGUAGUUCUUUUUAUGGUGCUUUUGCUUUAGAGCCUUGUUGUAGGAGACUGGUUUGUUCACUGCAAAGGCUCUCUUCUUGGCUUCUUUUGUUGAUUGGAUCUUUGAAUAAAGUUGAUGCCUUGAAAUUGAAAUAUGAGGCGCACAAGGCGAAUAUGGAUUUUCUUUUGUCUGGCUAGAACAAAAUGGAAGAGGCUGAUGCUGCAACGGAAGAUGAUGGUAUGACUAAGGAUGCCCUUUGACUUCUUGAUGAUUGCUGAUGGUUAUGAGGAUGAUUAAUGCUUGGCUAAGAAACAAGAGGGAGAGUAAGAUGAUGAUGGUGAUUGUCAAUGGAGACUUUGAGCAAGAUGGGGACUGAGAUGGUGAUGGUGGUGAUGUUGAUGAUGGAGUUGCAAAGAGGACCAGGGAAAGUGGGAAGUAUAUGAUGAAGAUGAGGAUUAGGACGGCAAUGAUGAUGAUGAUGAUGAUGGUGAUAGCAGCGAAAAUUGUGAUUAUCCAUUGUUGAGGCAUGCAAGGGGUGUCUGUAAGCCAGAGAUUCAGUUUGAAGAAGAUUGCAGAAAGAUGACUUAACGGUUAUAUUGAUGUUUGUGAUGAGCGAUCUGAUGUGAGACGGUUGAUUAAGUAUGACUGAAGUUCACUGCUUUCCUCGCUUGGAAUGGUAUGAAUGUCAGAAGUUACUGUGUCUUUCAUUUGGAGCAUGAGGUUACUGCAGUGCGCCAGGAGGUAUCUGGAAUUCUCUGCAGGCGUGCAUUACAAGCUCUUAAUUGCUUGUACAUAGAUUUGAUCCCAGAGAGAUACGCAUUAAAAUGAUUUACGAAAGAUGGAAAUAUUGGUACUGCAGAAGAGCCUUGCACUCUCAUGCGGAAUUACAAUCAUUUCCAGCCAGCCAUCUUUACCUAAUCAGAGUUGGUAAGUUUUUUUGUUAAAUGAUUAAGAUGGAUUAUGCUCAAAUUCAAUUAAGUUUUUCUUUGGUUUCUGAUAUUUGUCACCUUCAUUAAGACCUUAAAGAAACAAAUGAAAUGCAUGAUUUAGGUACUUGCAUCACAAUGCAUUUCUGAGAUAUUCAGUUCUUUUUACUAGGCAAAAGUGGUCUUGCACAGCUACUUCAGACUGCAUUCUAGCCAAAGUUUCAGAGAUAUUAUUUUCAUAAUUGAUGCUCCUUUUUAUAUGGAAGGAUAAUUCAUCACGGAUUCUACUAAAAUAGAUAUCUAAUCUAUAAUAGACUUUUUUCUCUUCUCACCUGUGAAUGAUUGCAAAGAAGAAUCAUUUAACAGUCAACAGAUCAAUGAACAACUAAAUUUAUUUCAACUGUCAAUUAUAUUAGACCUGUUCAAUUUUGGUAAUUAAAGAAAGGCUUGGAGGCAUAUUGGCCAGUAGCAGUGUCGCCAGAAUAAAUCGUCUUACUAAUAAAGACGUGAACAAGGAUUCCAAUGGCGCACCAUUAUUGAGGCAUGCAAGUGAAGUCCUUGCAACAGAAUUUUACCAUACUUCAAGCUGAAUAUGAAAGGUCAAGAUCUCUGGUUGUCGCCAUCAAUGAGGCUUUAUACCUUUAACGGCUCGUUAUUUACCAGGUUUGCACAUUUGGGCAAUAUUCUGGAUAACUUUAGUUUCUUUUGCACCAUUUGAUGGAAAGCGAAUUGGACAUGCAUGAAGUUUUGAGUUCACUGGAAUUUUGUGUAGCCAUACUUGGUCCAUCCUUCAUUAGUUGCAAAUAGGGAAAGUCCAUGACGAAUACCUACCUUUGAGAUUUUUGAACAUUUCUGGGCUCAGUACCAUGGAAAAUCAUCCCUCCAAAUUUCUGGAUUUACACUCUCUGUCUGUAAAUUACUAGUCAUCUGGACAAACUAAUCAAUGAAGCUGAUGAAGUUACCAUGGCAGAAGUUCUAAACAUAACUCUACGGCAUUGCUCAAUUGCAGAGGAGAGGCCGAAAGGAUGAAUGUUAAUGUUUCAGGGAUCUCUAGUGCUAGAGGCCAAGGACAAAAGAAAAGAGAUCAACAAUCGCAAAGCGAUGAAUGUUAAUAUUUAUGGCGUCUUGAUGGUCGAAUUGAAAAUCACAGUACUGCAGCAAAAGCUGGGAAGCAUCAAGCAAUAAUGUCUUCCUCAUAUUAGAGUUAACAGGAAAGCUUUAAAAAAGUCUAUAACAUCAUCAAAAGAUUUCUUAUUGUGAAAUUGACCGUGUAGCUUAAACCUCUUUGUGCCAAUCUUCAGCUUAUGGAACAUUUCAGAUUUAUGUAUGGCAUGAUCCCUACCUUUCUCAUCUCCAUAUAUUUCCUUGCUCAUCUUUCUCUUUUCAAGUCAUUGAUUCAUGUUAUCCUGAUUAAGUAGACAAUGGCAUAUAUGUGGCACUUGGAAGAAGUUGGUAUUGCCUUAUUGGCAUUAGAUUU